This 528-nucleotide long non-coding RNA is filed under the name Actinidia chinensis (golden kiwifruit). Its description in RNAcentral is "long non-coding RNA (ACHI_LNC002315)". Lineage: Eukaryota; Viridiplantae; Streptophyta; Magnoliopsida; Ericales; Actinidiaceae. The record is from RNAcentral.
CGAAAUCACAGGCCAGUUUCGGUAUCAAGACGACGAAUUCUCUGUUUGGUUCUUCAAAUUCUGGCCUAGAAAACUCGAUUUCUCCGAGAUCACCAGCCGAUUUCGGCAUCAGGACGAGGAAUUCUCUGUCUGGGUCUACGAAUUCUGUCCUAGAAAACUCAAUUUCUCCGAAAUCACUAGCCGAUUUCAGUAUCAAAACGAAAAAUUCUCAAUCUGGGUCAGCAAAUUCUGGCCUAGAAAACUCGAAUUCUCCAAAAUCACCUGCCGAUUUCGGUAUCAAAACGAAAAAUUCUCAAUCUGGGUCAGCAAAUACUGGCCUAGAAAACUCGAAUUCUCCAAAAUCACCUGCCAAUUUCGGUAUCAAAACUAGAAAUUCUCAACCUGGGUCUGCAAAUCCUGGCCAAGACUUUCUCUCCCCAUCUUCAGAGAAGAAAUCCCCAUUGGGGUCUGAAAAUUUAGCCAAAGAAAACCCAAACACGCCGCUGGUUUUCCCCUGCUCUCUCUCUGCUAGUGAAAUGGAGCUCUCAG